Molecule: long non-coding RNA, 696 nt
Organism: Harpia harpyja (harpy eagle)
Lineage: Eukaryota; Metazoa; Chordata; Aves; Accipitriformes; Accipitridae
Exons: 3
Source: RefSeq, a predicted model, not a curated record
UGCGCAGUCCCCGGGAGCAGCGUGGCGGCGGCAAGGGCGCGGGUCUCGGCGGCAGCGGGUGAGCGCCAGGACCACCGAGGCUGCGCUGAGGGCGUGGUUGUCUGUUCCUCCCUUGGGGAUACCGUUGACUGCACCUGCCUCAGGCUUGUAUGGGUUGUCUCUGCCUGGCCUCAUGCUCCUCGUGGCGUGGGAGCAAAAAGGGACAGGCAGAGCGCUUACUGGCUGUGGACAAGAGCUGCUGCAGCUGGAGAGACUAGAAAAAGGUAAAGCUGCUGAAGAAUAAAAUAAAGGGGAUCCAGCCAGCAGCUGCAGACAGGAGACAGCCUGCCUCUCCAGCUGUAUUGUGUUUUCCUGGAAUUGCUGACUUUAUUGAAGACAGAAUGUUGGGUUUUUUUUCACCAGUUUUGCUGUAUGCUGUGUAAAUUGCUGAUAUUAUCUCUCUUAAUAGGACUGAUGAUGAGAUUAUCUAGCAGGGGUUAGGAUGAGCAUCUUGAAUGCAUCUGUAUAUGGAGUUUCUCAAGAAAGCAGCAGGGACAUAAGGUACAGUGUCUUUCAAGGUAGGGGAUGGCUUAUUGCCUUUCCUGAUUGUUCACCAGAGUGCCAUGUUAUCCCUAGAACCUUUGCAGCUUAUGGCAAGUUCCCUUGUAUGUUAUAAAUGUCAGGACUUCACUUCUUGUUGGUUUUGCACGUGCCUUA